UACGUAGGGUGCAAGCGUUGUCCGGAAUUAUUGGGCGUAAAGAGCUCGUAGGCGGUUUGUUGCGUCGGCUGUGAAAUCCCGAGGCUCAACCUCGGGUCUGCAGUCGAUACUAGCAAACUAGAGUGUUGCAGGGGAGACUGGAAUUCCUGGUGUAGCGGUGAAAUGCGCAGAUAUCAGGAGGAACACCGGUGGCGAAGGCGGGUCUCUGGAACGCAACUGACGCUGAGACGCGAAAGCGUGGGGAGCAAACAGG
RNAcentral lists this ribosomal RNA (253 nucleotides) under uncultured bacterium. RNAcentral's name for it is "partial 16S ribosomal RNA". It matches the Rfam family "Bacterial small subunit ribosomal RNA", at positions 524 to 776 of the family's 1533-position model. The record is from RNAcentral.